UACGGAGGAUGCAAGCGUUAUCCGGAUUUAUUGGGUUUAAAGGGUGCGCAGGUUGUUUGAUAAGUCAGUGGUGGAAGUCUGUCGCUUAACGGUAGGAUUGCCAUUGAUACUGUUGGACUUGAAUAUGGAUGAGGUAGGCGGAAUGUGUAGUGUAGCGGUGAAAUGCAUAGAUAUUACACAGAACACCGAUUGCGAAGGCAGCUUACUAAUCCAUCAUUGACGCUGAGGCACGAAAGCGUGGGGAUCAAACAGGA
Molecule: ribosomal RNA, 254 nt
Filed under: uncultured prokaryote
Description: partial 16S ribosomal RNA
Rfam family: Bacterial small subunit ribosomal RNA
Source: RNAcentral